Acanthochromis polyacanthus (spiny chromis) is the source of this 843-nucleotide long non-coding RNA. RefSeq lists it as uncharacterized. The transcript is spliced from 7 exons. NCBI's taxonomy places the organism in Eukaryota, Metazoa, Chordata, Actinopteri, Pomacentridae. The record is from RefSeq and is a predicted model, not a curated record.
GUUGCUCGUUUUAUGGGACACGAUAUAAGAGUCCACUGCGAGUAUUAUCGGCAGACAGAUAAAACAUUCCAAGUGGCCAAGAUUGGCAAACUUCUGUUUGCAAUGGAGCAUGGAGCACAGUCACUGAAAGGGAAGAGUCUGCAAACACUGGACUCUGUUAUCAGUGGCAAAGGACAUGCAGCCAGCCCAGCCAAAGGUCUGAAAGAUGUCAGAAAGAGAAGGACGUCAGAUACAGGCAGACAACGGGAAGCUUAUGAUGAUGGAAAACAGCUAUCCACCACAAGUUCAUCAGCUCAGAGGCACAAGAAGACUGUCACAAGACUUAGACAUGAUGGAGAUGAUGAUGACUCUGAUGGAGAGGUGCCACAUUCAGCUGCAGCAAGGUCACUUGCAAAAAGACAAUGGCAGAAGGAAAGAAGAAAACAUGAUGAAGAUGAUGGUGGUGCUGAUGAUGGUGAUCGGAAAGAUGACAACACCAGUGAAGGCACUGAAAACACAGUUGGAGAGUUGCAAGAAGGCACCAACAGAGAGCCACAAAAGAUGACUACAGCAAAAGAAAAACGUGAUGAUGACAGUGAUGAUGACGGUGAUGUGAGUGAUGGCAAGGCUGGUCCAGGCACUGAAAACACAGAUGGCGUGGUGCACCAGGAGACAGGUGGAAGACCACCUGUUAAGCAAACAAAGAGAACUACAGAAAAACAUGAUGAUAAUGAUGAUGAUAGACAGGAGCCACACUCAACUUUAGGAAGCUCAGCUGUUGACCAACCAAAGAGAACUGCAACCACAAGGCAAGCUGAUGGUGACGAUGAAGAUAGCAGUGACUCUGAGUAUGGUAAGCAGAAG